UACUCGAGUGGCGAACGGGUGAGUAACACGUGGGUGAUCUGCCCUGCACUUCGGGAUAAGCUUGGGAAACUGGGUCUAAUACCGGAUAGGAACCAUCUUCAGUGUGGUGGUUGGAAAGUUUUUUCGGUGUAGGAUGAGCUCGCGGCCUAUCAGCUUGUUGGUGGGGUAAUGGCCUACCAAGGCGGCGACGGGUAGCCGGCCUGAGAGGGUGUACGGCCACAUUGGGACUGAGAUACGGCCCAG
Molecule: ribosomal RNA, 243 nt
Filed under: uncultured Actinomycetales bacterium
Lineage: Bacteria; Bacillati; Actinomycetota; Actinomycetes; Actinomycetales
Description: partial 16S ribosomal RNA
Rfam family: Bacterial small subunit ribosomal RNA
Source: RNAcentral